Long non-coding RNA from Triticum aestivum (bread wheat), 777 nucleotides. RefSeq lists it as uncharacterized. Lineage: Eukaryota; Viridiplantae; Streptophyta; Magnoliopsida; Poales; Poaceae. The record is from RefSeq and is a predicted model, not a curated record. The transcript has 2 exons.
UAGCAACCCUGUUACUCACUGGUAGUUGAUUCCUUUUGGGGGUUUGCUCCUGUGUUGAUGCUCUAUUUGCGCACGUAGGCUGGGAUUUAGCUGCGCUUAGCUCUGGUGCCCCGUUGCUGCUCUUUCAGUGAUGUUCCUUGGUACUUGGCGACGUUUUGGGUGUUGCGUUCGGUCGUUGCAUGGUGGGCGGUACCCUGGACUACGUGUGGUUGUUUGUGCUGGUUUGGUUGGGGGCGGUGCCUUGGUUGUCGAACCUGCAAAAUCGCAUCCAAAGAUCAUGAAUAUAGCAUGGCGCAACGGAGCGCGCCAUUCUGUCUAGCUCAUUUUCUUUAUCAUAUGGUUACUGUUUUCAGUGUUUGCUGUUGUAACUUGCUACCUUACUCUGUUCUAACUCUGAUUUUGGAUCUAUGCAUGCUACAUCCCCUGUCUUCUUGAGCAAUGAUAAUACAUCGAUGCAACGAGGAGACAGAUUGCCGGCUCUCACUUGUGCCCGCCACCAUCGAUGUUUGUUCUGGAAGGGAUGAUGCACCAAGCUGGAUGGGGAGCAGUGGGUUAGCUUGGACCAACGACAACAUUCAUAUGGAAGUUUAUCUCACUGCACUGGACUAGAGUCAAGGACUGUUAACAUGCUUCUUGACGUCCCCCGUUCCGAAGAAGCAAAGCCAAACAAAUUCCUGCCUCCCCUUGGGCAUCUAAGACACGCAUGUGUUCUUGUCGAGAGAGGAUUGAGUAUGUAGAUAUUUAUAGAUGUAGAAUAGUAAGAAAGAGUCGCAAAAA